GACGUAGGGCGCGAGCGUUGUCCGGAUUUAUUGGGCGUAAAGAGCUCGUAGGCGGCUUGUCGCGUCGUUCGUGAAAACUUGGGGCUUAACUCCAAGCGUGCGGGCGAUACGGGCAGACUUGAGUACUACAGGGGAGACUGGAAUUCCUGGUGUAGCGGUGAAAUGCGCAGAUAUCAGGAGGAACACCGGUGGCGAAGGCGGGUCUCUGGGUAGUAACUGACGCUGAGGAACGAAAGCGUGGGUAGCGAACAGG
RNAcentral lists this ribosomal RNA (253 nucleotides) under uncultured bacterium. Its description in RNAcentral is "partial 16S ribosomal RNA". It matches the Rfam family "Bacterial small subunit ribosomal RNA", at positions 524 to 776 of the family's 1533-position model. The record is from RNAcentral.